Molecule: long non-coding RNA, 367 nt
Filed under: Ananas comosus (pineapple)
Lineage: Eukaryota; Viridiplantae; Streptophyta; Magnoliopsida; Poales; Bromeliaceae
Description: long non-coding RNA (ACOM_LNC035223)
Source: RNAcentral
UCUAAUACAAAAAUGGUGGUCUCUAUACAUAUACGGGUACAACUCUCAACCUCUCACAAAAAGAAAACACGAGAGGUAAACCACCUAUCGAACGAUCCCUCGGUAAGCACGCUAGCCCGAGGCGAUACCCUUUCCGCGAUCCCUGGCCUCUCCCUGCGUGGAAGGCUCUGAAAAACAUCGAGAAAAAGAGGGCGUGAGAACUAUAAUUUAUAGUUCCCAGUGGGCAAUUACUGACCUCAGCUCUAUGCACCACUAGGCCCCAAAAGAAGAGGGUAAGUACAAUAAUAAUAGCAAUAAUGACUGCGAUAUAAAGGCAUAAUUAAAAGGCUAAAUUACUAAACUCAAGUAUAAACGAUGUCAUGGUGAU